CGCCUCCCGCCUCACUCACAGGAGGUCAUGCCUGCACAAUGACCUAAGGGUUAAAUUGCCGCGGUACCCUGACCGUGCUAAGGUAGCGUAAUCACUAGCCUGUUAAUUGCUGGCCCGUAUGAAUGGCUCGACGCUGGUGGCGCUGUCUCUGCUGUGCUCUAUUGAACUUAACCUUUUGGUGAAAAGGCCAAAAUAAACCUAAAAGACGACAAGACCCUGUCGAACUUCAGGCUAACCUGCUAGGGCACCGGCCCGCAUUGCAGGAGAACCUUUGGUUGGGAGAACCGGGGACCAAACAAAACGUCCACCCCCACAACAGCUUAAGCCCAAGGGACAGUAACCACGCCUCUUUGAGCAAAUCGCCCGACAAGGCAAAAUUAACUAAGUCAGAUCCAGGGGCCAACCCCUGAUCAUGGGAAAAGUUACCGCAGGGAUAACAGCGUAAUCCUCCCGGCGAGACCACAUUAAGGGGAGGGUUUGCGACCUCGAUGUUGGCUUAAGGCAUCCCAGGGGUGCAGGAGCUCCUAACGGUUGGUCUGUUCGACCACUAACGCCUUACAU
RNAcentral lists this ribosomal RNA (561 nucleotides) under Patelloida sp. ESU 6. RNAcentral's name for it is "partial 16S ribosomal RNA". It matches the Rfam family "Bacterial large subunit ribosomal RNA", at positions 1816 to 2601 of the family's 2925-position model. The record is from RNAcentral. Lineage: Eukaryota; Metazoa; Mollusca; Gastropoda; Lottiidae.